RNAcentral lists this ribosomal RNA (1679 nucleotides) under Escherichia coli. Its description in RNAcentral is "partial 23S ribosomal RNA". It matches the Rfam family "Bacterial large subunit ribosomal RNA", at positions 977 to 2640 of the family's 2925-position model. The record is from RNAcentral. Lineage: Bacteria; Pseudomonadati; Pseudomonadota; Gammaproteobacteria; Enterobacterales; Enterobacteriaceae.
ACGGGAGACACACGGCGGGUGCUAACGUCCGUCGUGAAGAGGGAAACAACCCAGACCGCCAGCUAAGGUCCCAAAGUCAUGGUUAAGUGGGAAACGAUGUGGGAAGGCCCAGACAGCCAGGAUGUUGGCUUAGAAGCAGCCAUCAUUUAAAGAAAGCGUAAUAGCUCACUGGUCGAGUCGGCCUGCGCGGAAGAUGUAACGGGGCUAAACCAUGCACCGAAGCUGCGGCAGCGACGCUGAUGCGUUGUUGGGUAGGGGAGCGUUCUGUAAGCCUGCGAAGGUGUGCUGUGAGGCAUGCUGGAGGUAUCAGAAGUGCGAAUGCUGACAUAAGUAACGAUAAAGCGGGUGAAAAGCCCGCUCGCCGGAAGACCAAGGGUUCCUGUCCAACGUUAAUCGGGGCAGGGUGAGUCGACCCCUAAGGCGAGGCCGAAAGGCGUAGUCGAUGGGAAACAGGUUAAUAUUCCUGUACUUGGUGUUACUGCGAAGGGGGGACGGAGAAGGCUAUGUUGGCCGGGCGACGGUUGUCCCGGUUUAAGCGUGUAGGCUGGUUUUCCAGGCAAAUCCGGAAAAUCAAGGCUGAGGCGUGAUGACGAGGCACUACGGUGCUGAAGCAACAAAUGCCCUGCUUCCAGGAAAAGCCUCUAAGCAUCAGGUAACAUCAAAUCGUACCCCAAACCGACACAGGUGGUCAGGUAGAGAAUACCAAGGCGCUUGAGAGAACUCGGGUGAAGGAACUAGGCAAAAUGGUGCCGUAACUUCGGGAGAAGGCACGCUGAUAUGUAGGUGAAGUCCCUCGCGGAUGGAGCUGAAAUCAGUCGAAGAUACCAGCUGGCUGCAACUGUUUAUUAAAAACACAGCACUGUGCAAACACGAAAGUGGACGUAUACGGUGUGACGCCUGCCCGGUGCCGGAAGGUUAAUUGAUGGGGUUAGCGCAAGCGAAGCUCUUGAUCGAAGCCCCGGUAAACGGCGGCCGUAACUAUAACGGUCCUAAGGUAGCGAAAUUCCUUGUCGGGUAAGUUCCGACCUGCACGAAUGGCGUAAUGAUGGCCAGGCUGUCUCCACCCGAGACUCAGUGAAAUUGAACUCGCUGUGAAGAUGCAGUGUACCCGCGGCAAGACGGAAAGACCCCGUGAACCUUUACUAUAGCUUGACACUGAACAUUGAGCCUUGAUGUGUAGGAUAGGUGGGAGGCUUUGAAGUGUGGACGCCAGUCUGCAUGGAGCCGACCUUGAAAUACCACCCUUUAAUGUUUGAUGUUCUAACGUGGACCCGUAAUCCGGGUUGCGGACAGUGUCUGGUGGGUAGUUUGACUGGGGCGGUCUCCUCCUAAAGAGUAACGGAGGAGCACGAAGGUUGGCUAAUCCUGGUCGGACAUCAGGAGGUUAGUGCAAUGGCAUAAGCCAGCUUGACUGCGAGCGUGACGGCGCGAGCAGGUGCGAAAGCAGGUCAUAGUGAUCCGGUGGUUCUGAAUGGAAGGGCCAUCGCUCAACGGAUAAAAGGUACUCCGGGGAUAACAGGCUGAUACCGCCCAAGAGUUCAUAUCGACGGCGGUGUUUGGCACCUCGAUGUCGGCUCAUCACAUCCUGGGGCUGAAGUAGGUCCCAAGGGUAUGGCUGUUCGCCAUUUAAAGUGGUACGCGAGCUGGGUUUAGAACGUCGUGAGACAGUUCGGUCCCUA